AUACAGCUGACUAGUCCUAAAUAGGACGAAACGUGCAUCCUGGAU
Molecule: non-coding RNA, 45 nt
Filed under: Schistosoma mansoni
Lineage: Eukaryota; Metazoa; Platyhelminthes; Trematoda; Strigeidida; Schistosomatidae
Source: RNAcentral